UACAGCCGGAAAACACAAAAA
Molecule: non-coding RNA, 21 nt
Filed under: Caenorhabditis elegans
Lineage: Eukaryota; Metazoa; Nematoda; Chromadorea; Rhabditida; Rhabditidae
Source: RNAcentral